GGGGAUGCAUUGCAUCGACAAGAAAGCACAUUUAAAAAUUGCAAGCCGACCUUGAUUAAAAGUCGUUAAAAAGAAUCAAACUAUAAAUGCUGGUGUAAACCGCACAGAGAGACUCUUAGCUGAAGCGCAAGCAAUGCUUGGAUUCUCUGAUCAAAGAGCUUUUGCAUACGCACAGGCCUAAGAUCUGUUCAUAAUGUCUUUUCUCAACGGGAUAGUAUGAGCACAAACACAGUUGAGAUAGGGUAAGGAAGACUGGUUUUUGUCCUUAUUUCAUAUUUAUAAACCUAGGUUGUAUCUAUUCCUUCCGAUUGGAAAAGGAUACGAUGACACAAAAAAAUCGGAUAAGCUUGUAGAAGUUUUUAAAAGUAAUUCUUGGACUCCGGAUCGCUUCCGGACAUCUCCACCA
Molecule: transfer-messenger RNA, 406 nt
Filed under: Patescibacteria group
Lineage: Bacteria
Also listed under: 1 other name
Description: g GWB1-37-8 X2 Standard tmRNA
Rfam family: transfer-messenger RNA
About the family: Bacterial tmRNA, also known as 10Sa RNA or SsrA, is named for its dual tRNA and mRNA-like properties. Its role is to liberate the mRNA from a stalled ribosome.
Source: RNAcentral